GAUGAACGCUGGCGUCGUGCCUAAUACAUGCAAGUCGAGCGAACAGACGAGGAGCUUGCUCCUCUGACGUUAGCGGCGGACGGGUGAGUAACACGUGGAUAACCUACCUAUAAGACUGGGAUAACUUCGGGAAACCGGAGCUAAUACCGGAUAAUAUAUUGAACCGCAUGGUUCAAUAGUGAAAGACGGUUUUGCUGUCACUUAUAGAUGGAUCCGCGCCGCAUUAGCUAGUUGGUAAGGUAACGGCUUACCAAGGCAACGAUGCGUAGCCGACCUGAGAGGGUGAUCGGCCACACUGGAACUGAGACACGGUCCAGACUCCUACGGGAGGCAGCAGUAGGGAAUCUUCCGCAAUGGGCGAAAGCCUGACGGAGCAACGCCGCGUGAGUGAUGAAGGUCUUCGGAUCGUAAAACUCUGUUAUUAGGGAAGAACAAAUGUGUAAGUAACUAUGCACGUCUUGACGGUACCUAAUCAGAAAGCCACGGCUAACUACGUG
RNAcentral lists this ribosomal RNA (497 nucleotides) under uncultured bacterium. Its description in RNAcentral is "partial 16S ribosomal RNA". It matches the Rfam family "Bacterial small subunit ribosomal RNA", at positions 28 to 507 of the family's 1533-position model. The record is from RNAcentral.